Long non-coding RNA from Callithrix jacchus (white-tufted-ear marmoset), 1710 nucleotides. RefSeq lists it as uncharacterized. NCBI's taxonomy places the organism in Eukaryota, Metazoa, Chordata, Mammalia, Primates, Cebidae. The record is from RefSeq and is a predicted model, not a curated record.
CCCAGACAACAGAAACCUGAGUGGGGGUUGGGAAGAGAGAUUUUUCAGCACAGCAUCAGACUUCCUCUCCGAAGAGCUGUGUGGCCUUCACCCGCAAGGCGACCUCUUCCACAGGCAGAGGCUAGGACAAAAAGAGGGCGGAGGGACCUCAUUAGAAGGCGCUGGUGCUAACGGGAAAUGCAUUUCCAGAACAGGAGGUUUCAUCAUUCCUAGCGCUAGCGACAGAAUGGUGACAGAAGGUGCCCAGUAGUCACGCACAGCUACCAUUUGGACAGCAAAAUAUUACUAAAGAAGCAGCUAUCAAACGGAUUCCCAGGUGAAAAUCAAUAAUCUCUCAGGAGUGAGGUGCCAGACAGGUCGUUCCGAGAAAAACUAUGAUAUAACCUCCUCAGAGAAUUGAAGCCGACUGCUCAGCCUUUCUUCAUAAGGCAAAAUGAGACCUGGAAAUGGGAGAGACUACUGAGAGUAAGCCCGACAAAGGAAGAGUCCCCACCAUGAGCAAUACAGAACUAUGUAACCAAGAUCUUCAAAUAAAUACUUCGAAAAUAAUAUUAGUGAUCUGCAGCUCUUAAGAACACACCCUGUAGCCGGCCGGGCGCAGCGGCAGUAAUCCCAGCACUUUCGGAGGCUGAGGCGGGCAGAUCACAAGGUCAGGAGUUCGAGACCAACCUGGCUAACAUGGUGAAACCCUGUCUCUAAUAAAAACACAAAAAUUAGCUGGGUAUGGCGGUACAUACCUGUAAUCUCAGCUACUCAGGAGGCUGAGGCAAGAGAAUUGCUUGAACCCAGGAGGCAGAGGUUGCAGUGAGCCCAGAUCGUGACAUUGCAUUCCAGCCUGGGCAACAGAGUGAGACUCCAUUAAAAAAAAAAAAAAAAUACUCUGCAGCUAAGGAUGUUAAAGGUAUAAAUUACUGGGGUUUGUCUUUUUAUUUGCACCUUUCCUCCAACUCCAUCUCCCUUCAAAAGUUUUCCUUUAAUGAGAAGAGGAAUAUGAAACAUAAAAAGAGAACUACAAACCUUUUUCCUUUAAGUACUGUGUUGUGCUGAGUUCUGAUCUCACAUAUAUGCUUUCCCUUCAGCUCUGCAGACAUAUUUUCCAGCGUUCAAUUCACAUCAAGGAUGAGUAUGCACUGACGGAAAAGGUCAUAUGCAAUACACCUGUACACACUUAAGAGGAUUGCUCCAAAUGUAGUUGAUGGCAAUCUAAUAAGAGAGGGUACUGAAGACAAAUGAGAUGCAUUUGCCUGUUUCCCUAAUGCUUAACAAGCAAAGGCAAGGUGAAGCAGCAGCAGGAAGAAGGCCACAGAGCAGAAAGCUCUUUAAAUAGCUUUCCAGGUGACCCUGCCACACUGGCACUGGUGGAUUAAAAAGGAUAACUGGGACAUGGACAUGAGCAUUGUGAAGGGAGACAGGCUGGGAAUCUGUUAGCCCUGAUGGCCCCAUGCAUGCCUCUCCCACCACAACUGACUCUACACUAGAUAAGUCUAUUAUGGCAAAAGGCUUCUCUUGUUUCAAGGUCGACGUGUAUGAGCAUUUCUUUCUCCUCACUGGAAAUCAACAGUACCUAGCCUUCUGAUUUGAAGAAACCAACUGCAAAAAGAAAGGUAGAAGGCAAUGGGGGGAAUCUGCCUGGGCAUUUGAUAGUAAGGAAUUAUUGUUAAUACUUUACAUGUAAUAGUGUUCCUGUAGUUAUGUUAAAAAUAAAGAGAU